Molecule: long non-coding RNA, 814 nt
Organism: Acanthopagrus latus (yellowfin seabream)
Lineage: Eukaryota; Metazoa; Chordata; Actinopteri; Spariformes; Sparidae
Exons: 4
Source: RefSeq, a predicted model, not a curated record
UUUCAGUUGAGCUGUCCACGAGGUGUUACGUGUCACCCGUGUUUUUAAGUUUCCUCUGAAAGGAAUCCAUUAGGAGUGGAAUCGCUAGACUGCAACUGAGGUCUGACAACAUUUAAUCUAAAGGUUAAAGCAUUCGAACAAGCACCCAGCUGACUCUAAUCCUGGUCCCCCAGACGAGGACCGGUCCCUCUGACCUCGGUGUGCUCAUCGAUUCAUCACGAUGCAUCUGUAAGAAAGACGCUGCCGCGCCGUCGUCGCUGCCGCCGCUGCUCCUCCUGACUCAUCCAUCCAGCUACAGGUGCCAACAGGUCUUCAGAUCAGAUGUCUGCCAUGAUCUGGACACAAGUGAUGUUUGUGAUAUUUCUAAGUCGAUCAUUUAAAUGUAUUUGUCAUAACACUGUAUAAUAAUGUAUCAAUAAAAUGACUUGUCUUGGGUUUUGUUCAGCACUCUAACAUCUUUCUUCCUGAAGGCCUUGUUGUUGCCACUGCUGACGCUAACAAAGCAGUUGUUCUGCUACAGACUGAAGCUGGAAUGUAAAACAGGGUCACUUCCAGAAAAGACUGCCUGUAUCUGAUGGCAAUCUUGUUGUUUUCAGUCACCAGCUAACUUCAGUACAGCACACUAAUGUGUUGUUAAUUCUCCUCAUCACACUCCCAAAACAUGUAAUCAUUGACAUGGUAAUGUUGUGUAUGAUCAGUUUAAAACAGGUUCUAAUCCUCGAUGACUGUUCUCACGAAGAAUGCAGAGAAAGAAACUUGGCACCAGGUUUCAUGUCAUCUGUUACUACUUCGGAUCUUUGCCAUAUGAAUGGAG